AAUAAGUUUAUUCGGGAAUGCCGAAAAGAAUUGCAGUUCCGGAGUUACAUGCUAUGGCAGACCAUAGGCAAAUCCAGCAAACAAGAGAGAGGAACAUCACAUCAUGGAGAAAAAGGAGGAAGUUGGGAGAGGUUGUUUAGAACCAAAGUCCAUUGGAGGAAAGUGAGAGUUCAGUGUGAUGAUGGGUUCUCGUUGGCUUAGUUGCUGGGGUAGUCAAUUUCCUCUAGUAGAUGCAAUGUUCAUCUUUCCUAUCACGGAUGAUUCUUUCCUAUUGAGGAUUCUUCUUGUUGGGGGUCUGUAGUUGAUAAUCCUCCCUGUAAUAGAUCUCAAGUGGUACUGCUUGAGUGGGAGCUCACCCUUCUGACUCCAUUUUAAAUUGUUUCCCUUUAUUAAUUUCAUAGUCUCUAUUUUAGCAUUGCCCAGUCUCCUCAUUCCCACUUCUCAGAAAACCAGACCAAGAACUGCCCCAGCUGCCAAUACUGCCCGGUUUGGGGCAGGCAUGAGCAUGCUCUACUCCAUCAUUUUUGUUCAUAUUUUUCGUAAUUUUCAAGAUGGAAAAUAUCUAAGAUUGUGCUCUGAAUGCUUGUUUUUAAAGUUGAAUGCACAGUUGUUGAUCUUCAUAGCAGAUUUCCAUCAGGGAUCCCUUCCAACACCAAGGAAAAUUACAACCUAAAAAGCAAAUUUGCCUAUUUUUACCCUCAAAAUGAGUUUAUUUGGGAAUAGCCAAAAGAAUUGCAAUUCAGGAUGUGCAUGCUAUAGCAAACCGUAGGCAAAUCCCAAAAACAAAUGAAGGGAGCUGCUUUAAUAGAGAAAAAUGGGGAGUAGGCAGGGGCUGUUCUAAACAAAAGUCCGUUGAAGGAAAGUAACGGUUCAGGGUCACAACGGCUUCUCAUUGGCUGAGCUGCUGUGUUUCUCAUUGGCUGGGCUGUUGCCGAGUAGGAGGAGAAAUCUUCCUUUAGUAGUAAAGUAGUUUUACUUCCCAUCAGAAGAGGCAAGGGUAGCUCUUUUCCUCUUUCCUGUAGUUGGCAACGUAGGACAGGGAGUGAGAGCUCCCCCUACAGGCCUCCCUGACUCCAAGAGGGAAUCUGGACAAGGACACGUAAAGAGGGAGAAGGUUAUCUGCAAGACAAGGACAGAGGCCUCAGGGGAAACCAAACCUGUGGACAUCUUGAUCUGGGACUUCCAGCCUCCAGCACUAUCCUACAGUCAUAGAUCCUGGAGGGGAUGAAACCGUACUUCAAUAAUUGGUCCCACCUUCAUUCUGUUAAACUGCAAGGCCUCAGUUGUGUAAAAUAAAUUUUCAAUAUUUCCAGUUCUCGUGCAUCUGAAAUUCUUCAUGGUGAUGUUCAUGAAAUUAACAAGACUCACAGAGCAGAUAUUUCACAAUCCGUAGACUCAGAGGUACAAUAUGUAACUCUCUUUAUUUCCCCAUAACGGAAUUCUCUUUUUGUCUUCCCCUCCUGCCUGAUGGUAGAAAACUGAAUUUACUUCCAGGACAGCUCAGACAUGUCAGCGGUUUUUCAGACAUUUCAAGCCUAAAAUUCAAUCAGUUCAGGGGCCAGCCCUGUGGCAUAGUGGUUAACUUCGGUAUGCUCUGCUUUGGCAGACCAGGU
Molecule: non-coding RNA, 1613 nt
Organism: Equus caballus (horse)
Lineage: Eukaryota; Metazoa; Chordata; Mammalia; Perissodactyla; Equidae
Source: RefSeq, a predicted model, not a curated record